Molecule: non-coding RNA, 85 nt
Organism: Stachybotrys chartarum IBT 40288
Lineage: Eukaryota; Fungi; Ascomycota; Sordariomycetes; Hypocreales; Stachybotryaceae
Source: Rfam
GGGCGCUUGGCUUAGUGGUAAAGCGCUCCCUUAGCAUGUUCUAAACAUCUGGGAGAGGUCCAGGGUUCGAUUCCCUGAGUGUCCA